RNAcentral lists this ribosomal RNA (459 nucleotides) under uncultured bacterium. RNAcentral describes it as "partial 16S ribosomal RNA". It matches the Rfam family "Bacterial small subunit ribosomal RNA", at positions 338 to 795 of the family's 1533-position model. The record is from RNAcentral.
UCUACGGGAGGCAGCAGUGAGGAAUAUUGGUCAAUGGCCGGAAGGCUGAACCAGCCAAGCCGCGUGAGGGAGGAAGGCGCAGAGCGUCGCAGACCUCUUUUGCCGGGGGACAAAAGGCCGGACUCGUCCGGUCCUGAGGGUACCCGGAGAAAAAGCAUCGGCUAACUCCGUGCCAGCAGCCGCGGUAAUACGGAGGAUGCGAGCGUUAUCCGGAUUCAUUGGGUUUAAAGGGUGCGCAGGCGGAAUGUCAAGUCAGCGGUAAAAUUUCGGGGCUCAACCCCGUCGUGCCGUUGAAACUGGCGUUCUGGAGUGAGCGAGAAGUAUGCGGAAUGCGUGGUGUAGCGGUGAAAUGCAUAGAUAUCACGAAGAACCCCGAUUGCGAAGGCAGCUUACUAAACUGUGACUGACAUUGAUGCUCGAAAGUGUGGGUAUCAAACAGGAUUAGAUACCCUGGUAGUC